GAAAAGAAACCAACUGGGAUUACCUUAGUAACGGCGAGUGAAGCGGUAAAAGCUCAAAUUUGAAAUCUGGUACUUUCAGUGCCCGAGUUGUAAUUUGUAGAAUUUGUCUUUGAUUAGGUCCUUGUCUAUGUUCCUUGGAACAGGACGUCAUAGAGGGUGAGAAUCCCGUUUGGCGAGGAUACCUUUUCUCUGUAAGACUUUUUCGAAGAGUCGAGUUGUUUGGGAAUGCAGCUCAAAGUGGGUGGUAAAUUCCAUCUAAAGCUAAAUAUUGGCGAGAGACCGAUAGCGAACAAGUACAGUGAUGGAAAGAUGAAAAGAACUUUGAAAAGAGAGUGAAAAAGUACGUGAAAUUGUUGAAAGGGAAGGGCAUUUGAUCAGACAUGGUGUUUUUUGCAUGCACUCGCCUCUCGUGGGCUUGGGCCUCUCAAAAAUUUCACUGGGCCAACAUCAAUUCUGGCAGUAGGAUAAAUCAUUAAGAAUGUAGCUACCUCGGUAGUGUUAUAGCUUAUUGGAAUACUGCUAGCUGGGAUUGAGGACUGCGCUUCGGCAAGGAUGUUGGCAUAAUGGUUAAAUGCCGCCCGUCUUGAAACACGGACCAAGGA
RNAcentral lists this ribosomal RNA (602 nucleotides) under Hanseniaspora opuntiae. Its description in RNAcentral is "eukaryotic LSU rRNA". It matches the Rfam family "Eukaryotic large subunit ribosomal RNA", at positions 56 to 672 of the family's 3401-position model. Lineage: Eukaryota; Fungi; Ascomycota; Saccharomycetes; Saccharomycodales; Saccharomycodaceae. The record is from RNAcentral.